This 240-nucleotide unclassified non-coding RNA is filed under the name soil metagenome. RNAcentral's name for it is "partial contains 5.8S ribosomal RNA, internal transcribed spacer 2, and large subunit ribosomal RNA". The record is from RNAcentral.
AACGCACGAGACCUGCGGACCUGCGGAAGGAUCAUUAACGAGUGUAACUUACCCUUUUUUUUAAAAGAGGGUAGUACCUCCUGUCCUUUGUAGGCCCCUUUUUAUUGGGGGGCUUUUUAAGACUUUCUGCUUCGGCGGGGUUAUUCCCGCCGGAACACCCUCAAAAAACUCUUCAAAAACUAAUUCAGUCCGAGAAUUUUUGAAAAUAAAAAAAACUUUUAACAACGGAUCUCUAGAUCG